AGGUCUUACCUGCCCAGUGACAAGUUAAACGGCCGCGGUAUUUUGACCGUGCAAAGGUAGCGCAAUCACUUGUCUUUUAAAUGAAGACCUGUAUGAAUGGUAGAACGAGGGCUUAGCUGUCUCCCCUCUCAAGUCAAUGAAAUUGAUCUGCCCGUGCAGAAGCGGACAUACAAAUACAAGACGAGAAGACCCUUUGGAGCUUAAGACACAAGAUCAACUAUGUCAAUGCAACAAAAUAUUAAAUCAAACUAAAUAGCACAUGAUCUCUAUCUUCGGUUGGGGCGACCACGGAAGAAAACAAAGCUUCCAUGAGGACUGAGGCCACAGGCCUUAAAACCAAGAAAGACAUUUCUAAGCAACAGAACAUCUGACCUUAAGAUCCGGCUAACCAAGCCGACCAGCGGACCAAGUUACCCUAGGGAUAACAGCGCAAUCCCCUUUAAGAGUCCAUAUCGACAAGGGGGUUUACGACCUCGAUGUUGGAUCAGGACAUCCUAAUGGUGCAGCCGCUAUUAAGGGUUCGUUUGUUCAACGAUUAAAGUCCUACGUG
RNAcentral lists this ribosomal RNA (550 nucleotides) under Ageneiosus pardalis. RNAcentral's name for it is "partial large subunit ribosomal RNA". It matches the Rfam family "Bacterial large subunit ribosomal RNA", at positions 1850 to 2602 of the family's 2925-position model. The record is from RNAcentral. Lineage: Eukaryota; Metazoa; Chordata; Actinopteri; Siluriformes; Auchenipteridae.